This is a long non-coding RNA of Corvus hawaiiensis (hawaiian crow), 1786 nucleotides long. RefSeq lists it as uncharacterized. NCBI's taxonomy places the organism in Eukaryota, Metazoa, Chordata, Aves, Passeriformes, Corvidae. The record is from RefSeq and is a predicted model, not a curated record. The transcript has 6 exons.
UUGAGUGAAGCACCUGUUACUAAAAUACAGAGAAGCUUCUUGCAGCUGAACCCUGCCCAGAGGAAACAAGACUUCGCUAACCAUCAUGAAACGUGUGAACGUGUGAAUGUUCUGGGGCUGCAAGAAAGACUUCAUACCCAGCUCUGAUUCGGUGUGUUUGAAUUAGGAUGGAUUUCAGGAGUUACAGGUGGUGUGGACUUCUCGCUUACAUAUUUAUUCAGCGUCUAUCACAGUAGGAGGCCCUGGAUGUGACUGUAAUACAAACAACACUGACAAAUCUGUGUUUCCAUGAGUUGCAGGAAACGGCUGAAAGAUCCAUCUCCCUCUUGAAGCCGGAUGGAUGAACUGAAGCAGCAGACAGAGCCUGGAGGGAGAAAAGAAAGAACUGUUAUCCUGGUUCUAUAUAUGCAGCAGCAGAAGAGGUAUCUCUGUCCCGUCUUCCUGAUACAAGUCAAAACCCAGACCUCCUCCCAGAGCUCCACUUUGGACACAGAAUAUCUCUCAGGAGAAGAAAAGCCUUUACACCUGUAUGGCUAGUCAUUUCUUGGGGCAGGCUAGCACAGAAUACACCUGCAAGAGACAGGAUCCCCCACACUGCAGAGAAGUUCAGAAGACGCCAUCAAAAGGAAAGCUCCAGGACAUCAGUCUGCACUCAGUCCUGGAUGAGUUCCAGUGUCCAACUAGAGGAGCAGAGCAGGACAGCCCAAAGCUGGCAGUGGCAGGCACCACAACAGAGGGGAACAGAGGGGUUGAAGGCCAGAAGCUGGAAACAUGGCCUUUGAGGCAUUGGAGUCAGAGGAAUCUGGUGCCUCUUUCCAGGCAGCAGUGUCUCCUUCCAGCCAGCUCUGCAGGUGUCAGUGAGCAGUGAGAAACAGAGAACCAAGACCAGAGUUCAACUUGACACAUAACAUUGUGGCUGGAUCCAAAAGACACAAGACAUUAUUCCUUGGACAUCUCAAGAAAAACAGAGUCAGAUUAUCUGCUGGUUUAAACAAACCUUGGCCAAAGGAAGGCUACCACACAAUGCAAACACAAAAGUGCAAGACUGUGCUUUGCUGGGAGCAACCUGUCAUACUAGAAAACACUUUUCUAAUAUCACUCUUUUUAUGACUGAAUCUGAUGAUGGCAGUGGUUGUUUUCUUCACAGUUCACACAGAAUGGCCAUCAAAAAAUAGCCAACUUUUCCUUCGUCUCAGAUGAAAGUCUCCAUAACCUUGGUGGGAAUUUAUAGUCUGUCGUUGCGUUUUGAGAUGCCAUAUGUGCGAGAGAAUAAGAGGGAGGGAGACAUUUUGUUUCCAAAAAUUAUGCCACGCUUAGCACUAUUACAGCAUGGUGGACAAUGUAUAUCAUUUAAAGUAGCAAGAAGAGGUCUGGGGCAAAGGAAGACCUUGUGGUAAGCACAAAUGUCUCUUGUCCUUGGGGACAAAGAAAAAAAAUCUAAAACCCACCCUCCACUAAUUAAUGCAAUAUAAUCCAUUCAAACGGGAAGAAAGUUCUGAAUUGUUUUUUAAUUAUUUCCCAUGAAUAAAUCUUCUUUGACAGGAAAGAAUCAGCAGUACCCAGUGAAGGGCAACUAUUUCAUUGCAAGAGUCUAUUCAGCCUGAGGGUGACAUCCUAGCUGGGAGAUUUAUGGAGAAACUACUAUCACAUCUGAAUUUUUUGAGUCCCUUUACUUUGGUUGACCCUAAUGAUUUGGUGUCACCUUGUGGAUUUUGCUAAUCCUAUCUUCUCUGGCUCAGCAAAUGAAGUCCAAAAGAACCUGAAACACCUCUGCCUCUGCUUUUGC